RNAcentral lists this transfer RNA (73 nucleotides) under Gemmatimonadota bacterium. RNAcentral describes it as "Gemmatimonadetes bacterium tRNA-Thr". It matches the Rfam family "tRNA". From Rfam's summary of the family: Transfer RNA (tRNA) molecules are approximately 80 nucleotides in length. Their secondary structure includes four short double-helical elements and three loops (D, anti-codon, and T loops). Lineage: Bacteria; Pseudomonadati; Gemmatimonadota. The record is from RNAcentral.
GCCACGAUAGCUCAGUUGGUAGAGCAAUUCACUCGUAAUGAAUAGGUCGUCGGUUCAAGUCCGACUCGUGGCU